AGGGAAUAGCCUCUCACUGGAGAUCCCUGCCUCCCAGAGGUCUUCUGAGGUCUGGAUGAGUCCCAUGUGCAGUCCUGGCCAUUCCCAAAUGCUGGAUAUGCAGCUCGUGGAUCUGUGUCAUGCUAUAAUGUGCUGGGACAUGCUUUCAAGGAAAAUGCACAGGAACAGAAACAAUUUCUGACUUUACCCAUCUCCUCCAUGGAUGACGUGAAGGUGACCAGCUGUUGGUUGAGUAGUGCAGAGACCUUUGGAGAACCAUACGUGUUCAGCUGGGGAUGAAGGGCUAAAUUCAGACCAUUUGUGCUCUUGGCAUGAUACUCACCCUCAUCAGCGCUGUGUUUGCUUUAGAAGUCUGACUUAGCUGGCAUGUCUCCGUCAUUGGCUAAUGAGGAUUAAUUCUGAUUCUCUUCAGGCUUCAGAGAAACAGAUUGUGGAGGGGCUUUCAUCACAGGGGGAAUUAAAGAAGCUAGCAAAGUAUCUUAACCCAAACCACGCCACUGAUGGCUUUCAGUCAGAAAGGAGGACAGAUGAGAUUAACCUCAAAACCCCUCUGCUUCCUUGUGGGGACUAUAAACCUCAGUGCCAAGUGAGAGAAGAAUGCAGGAAAAGAAUCGUUUUAAUGUGGAUGUGUAAGAAACUGGACCACCAAGUCCAUUCCACAUUGGCCACUGAGCAGUCAUCAGAGGGUGUUGACUUUUGACCACUACUGUUUUUGUUAACAAGGAAAAUAAAACCAUAUGUUGCCUAAGUAGAUGCACAAAACUUUUCUCCAAAUCCCUACAGACAAACUGUCAGCAGCAAAAGUAUUUACUUUGGUAAUGCAGCUGGGCUUAAUCCCAGCCCCAUUGUGUUUGUGCAUGCCUUUUCACCACUGAGCUCAAUAACACGCUGCUUGUGAAGAGGGUGAAUGAAUGCCUGCAGUAUGAUUUCUGUUAUUAGGCCUAUCGGUUACAUCCCGAGACAAAAGGCUGGAAUCAACAAUGGUAGCACUACAUAGGCACUGCUCAUGCUUUGAGUUAGGCUAAGUGGAAAUCUUAGUCAUCAGUCACAUCAACU
This 1056-nucleotide long non-coding RNA is filed under the name Gallus gallus (chicken). RNAcentral describes it as "lncRNA (ENSGALG00010018689.1)". The record is from RNAcentral. Lineage: Eukaryota; Metazoa; Chordata; Aves; Galliformes; Phasianidae.